Molecule: ribosomal RNA, 611 nt
Filed under: uncultured bacterium
Lineage: Bacteria
Description: bacterial SSU rRNA
Rfam family: Bacterial small subunit ribosomal RNA
Source: RNAcentral
CCUUACGGGAGGCAGCAGCAAGGAAUUUUCCGCAAUGGACACAUGUCUGACGGAGCAACGCCGCGUGCAGGACGACGGCCUUCGGGUUGUAAACUGCUUUUGGGUGGGACGAUGAUGACGGUACCACCCGAAUAAGCCCCGGCUAACUCCGUGCCAGCAGCCGCGGUAAGACGGAGGGGGCAAGCGUUGUCCGGACUCACUGGGCGUAAAGCGUGCGUAGGUGGUGCGAUGCGUCGGCGCUGAAAGCCGGGUCUUAACCGGGCGACGGGCGACGAUACGAUCGCACUGGAGGCAGGGAGACGUUGGUGGAAUUCCGGGUGUAGUGGUGAAAUGCGUAGAGAUCCGGAGGAAUGCCGGUGGCGUAAGCGGCCAACGAGUCCUGACCUGACACUGAGGCACGAAAGCGUGGGGAGCAAACCGGAUUAGAUACCCGGGUAGUCCACGCCGUAAACGAUGUCGGCUAGGUGUGUGAUCGGGGUGACCGAUGGCGUGGCGAAGCUUACGCGGUAAGCCGACCGCCUGGGGACUACGAGCGGAACUUAAAACUCAAAGGAAUUGACGGGGGCCCGACAAGCAGCGCAGGUAGUGGUUUAAUUCGACGAACGGGAGAG